This 253-nucleotide ribosomal RNA is filed under the name uncultured bacterium. RNAcentral describes it as "partial 16S ribosomal RNA". It matches the Rfam family "Bacterial small subunit ribosomal RNA", at positions 524 to 776 of the family's 1533-position model. The record is from RNAcentral.
GACAGAGGUGCCGAGCGUUAGGCGGAAUCACUGGGCUUAAAGCGUGUGUAGGCGGAUGCCUAAGUACCUUGUGAAAUCCCACGGCUUAACCGUGGAACUGCUUGGUAUACUGGGUGUCUUGAGCCACUUAGGGGCGACCGGAACAAACGGUGGAGCGGUGAAAUGCGUAGAUAUCGUUUGGAACGCCAAUGGUGAAAACAGGUCGCUGGGAGUGCGCUGACGCUGAGACACGAAAGCCAGGGGAGCGAAUGGG